UGGGGAAUCUUCCGCAAUGGACGAAAGUCUGACGGAGCAACGCCGCGUGAGUGAAGACGGCCUUCGGGUUGUAAAGCUCUGUGAUUCGGGACGAAAGGCCAUAUGUGAAUAAUAUAUGGAAAUGACGGUACCGAAAAAGCAAGCCACGGCUAACUACGUGCCAGCAGCCGCGGUAAUACGUAGGGGGCGAGCGUUAUCCGGAUUCAUUGGGCGUAAAGCGCGCGCAGGCGGCUCUUCAAGCGGAACCUCUAACCCCGGGGCUCAACCUCGGGCCGGGUUCCGAACUGGAGGGCUCGAGUGCGGUAGAGGCAGGCGGAAUUCCCGGUGUAGCGGUGGAAUGCGCAGAUAUCGGGAAGAACACCGAUGGCGAAGGCAGCCUGCUGGGCCGGCACUGACGCUGAGGCGCGAAAGCUAGGGGAGCGAACAGG
RNAcentral lists this ribosomal RNA (428 nucleotides) under Verrucomicrobiota bacterium. Its description in RNAcentral is "Verrucomicrobia bacterium partial 16S ribosomal RNA". It matches the Rfam family "Bacterial small subunit ribosomal RNA", at positions 355 to 776 of the family's 1533-position model. Lineage: Bacteria; Pseudomonadati; Verrucomicrobiota. The record is from RNAcentral.